RNAcentral lists this ribosomal RNA (1087 nucleotides) under uncultured organism. RNAcentral describes it as "bacterial SSU rRNA". It matches the Rfam family "Bacterial small subunit ribosomal RNA", at positions 393 to 1468 of the family's 1533-position model. The record is from RNAcentral.
CAUGCCGCGUGUGUGAAGAAGGCCUUCGGGUUGUAAAGCACUUACACUUGGGAAGAAGCGCUGUCGGUUAAUACGCCGGCAGCUGAGACAUCACCUAGAGAAGAAGCAGCGGAUAACUCCGGGCCAGCAGGCGCGGUAAUACGGAGGGUGCGAGCGUAACUCGGAAUCACGGGGCGUAAAGCGCGCGUAGGCGGGUUGAAAAGUGGGAUGUGAAAGCCCCGGGCUCAACCUGGGAAUUGGACGCGAUAGUGGCCGAGUGGAGUGCGAGAUAGGGGGGUAGAAUUCCACGAGUAGGGGUGAACUGCGUAAAUUUGUGGAGGAAUACUGGUGGCGAAGGCGGCCUCAUGGCUCUGACACGUGACGCUGAGGUGCGAAAGCGUUGGGGAGCAAACAGGAUUAGAUACCCUGGUAGUCCACGCCGUAAACGAUGUCGACUAGCCGUUGGGGAACUUGAGUCCUUGGUGGCGCAGUUAACGCGAUAAGUCGACCGCCUGGGGAGUACGGCCGCAAGGUUAAAACUCAAAUGAAUUGACGGGGGCCCGCACAAGCGGUGGAGCAUGUGGUUUAAUUCGAUGCAACGCGAAGAACCUUACCAGGCCUUGACAUCCUUGGAAUCCUGCAGAGAUGCGGGAGUGCCUUCGGGAAUCAAGUGACAGGUGCUGCAUGGCUGUCGUCAGCUCGUGUCGUGAGAUGUUGGGUUAAGUCCCGUAACGAGCGCAACCCUUGUCCUUUGUUGCCAGCGCGUAAUGGUGGGAACUCAAAGGAGACUGCCGGUGACAAACCGGAGGAAGGUGGGGACGACGUCAAGUCAUCAUGGCCCUUACGGCCUGGGCUACACACGUGCUACAAUGGAACGCACAGAGGGCAGCGACCCCGCGAGGGUGAGCGAAUCCCACAAAACGUUUCGUAGUCCGGAUUGGAGUCUGCAACUCGACUCCAUGAAGUCGGAAUCGCUAGUAAUCGGGAAUCAGAAUCUCGCGCUGAAUACGUUCCCGGGCAUUGUACACACCGCCCGUCACACCAUGGGAGUGGGUUGCUCCAGAAGUGGUUAGUCUAACCUUCGGGGGGACGAUCACCACGGAGUGAU